AGAAGGUAGAGAUGAGAGAUAGUGGGGAGUUUUCUCUGAUAGGCUGAAAAAAGCCUGGGGCUGGAAAUGGGUCCCUCUGAGCUAGAGUCAGUGAAGCCUGGGGCUAGAGGGUGGUUGUCCUGAGUCAGGAGCAAGCUGGAGGCAGUGAAGUCCAAGAGCUAGUGAUAGUAAAACCACAGGUGUGUUUGGACUGAAAUUUGAGAGGCUGCAGGGAGAGAGGGGAGACCUCUGCUAUCUUCCUCUUAGCACUAGAAAGUGGAGAUAGUUCAAUUCUAUGCCUUCCAGACUGGGAGAGACUUUGAAAUGACCUGAUUGGAGGGUUAAAUUCUGAGGUGUGGCAGGCCACCAUGAGAGUGGAGCGACUGUCAGCACAGGCUGCUAAAGAGAAAAGAGUUGUUAUGCCACACCAAGCCCUGAGGUGCCCACCAGUGCUCAUGCUAUUUGGACGCUGGGGGUUGGCAAAACUGUGAUCAGCUAAACACAGCCCUUCUGUGUGGAGACCAAACCACAAAUAGCAGGAUGGCUAGCCGCAUGGCAUCACGUGAGGUAGGUUCAUCCAAUCAAAGGCCCAGAAGAUCCGCCAUGUAAUAAACAUCAUGUGACUUUUCACAACAAACUUCGAUCAAACCCAAAAUGAACCAGCAACACUUGGGUUUCAAUAGAGUCACACCUACCUAGAGAGGGUUUUUUGGUUCUGGCUUUGUUGAAGGGUUUGCAGGCCUGAAAAAAAAAAGUCUGAAGGAAACCCAGCUAGUUCAGUUUUUGAGUAUAAAUCUGAAAUCAGGUAGAGGUUUGGUUUCACAAUGAAGGUUUUACACUGCCCUUGUUCCUAUAGUCAAAACUGAGAUAUUUCCAGUCUAAAUAAUUGCUUCUAAAAGAAGGAUUUGAUUAAUGAGCCA
Molecule: long non-coding RNA, 899 nt
Organism: Dermochelys coriacea (leatherback sea turtle)
Lineage: Eukaryota; Metazoa; Chordata; Testudines; Dermochelyidae
Exons: 3
Source: RefSeq, a predicted model, not a curated record